GAAGGCCAUCUCGAUUUGGAUUCCUUAACCACCUCACUCCCAGAAGAUGUCAGCCCGUCCCCGGGACCUCCGCCGCGCGGCCCGGCCAAGUCAGAGUUCAUUGACGGAGACCAGGGGCCCUUUCUGCAGGGAGCGCUGCCCACUCGCCGCGAGCCUCGGCGUUUACACAGCCAGCCUGGGCGCUCUGACCUGGUCUGACUGCCCGGAAACACCGCAGGGUGUUGGGCGAGCGGCUUGGGGGGCCGCCUCCUGCAGUGUUGGGCUCUGUGUUCUCCUAGGUCUCCUUGUACCCUUUCCCAGGAUUCCACACACCUGUCAACAUCCAAGUCCUGAAAAACUAUGUAAUUUAGGCCUCAAUGAGGCCCAGCUUCAGAUCCUGCUUUCACAGAAUGACUCCUGCCUUUACCAGAGGUGAGUCCCGGAGAAGUCUUCCUCAUACUGUCUGUGCGGUAAAAGAAGCCAAAGAAGCCACGGAAAAUAUCAGAAGUAGAGUUCAGAGUGAGGUGUACAGGGCCUUGAGGAACAAGGAGUACAAGUAUGUGGGGCUGUAGAAGCCAGCCCUCUUAUUUCUGCUUCUGCUCAGUCAGCUAAGAAGCCAUAGGUGGAUAAACCUUAAAGGAAGUCUGUCAAGUAAAGAGCAGCGUGUCCAGUUGGAAGUUCUGAAAACAAAGCUGUUGCUUAGCUUUUAUUUGUAACCAUUUGUAUGUCCGGAGAAAGGAAAUCCCAGGGCAAAAUACCUCUAAAAACUGAAAUCAGUCAAAGGGAGAAAUAAAAUUUAAAAUCCGUUUAUUGCUCACAAACUGCAGGGUAAUUACCCAUUCAUAUGGAGAGGAACUUCUCUCCACCCCUGAGGAAUGAUGCAAAUGCACUAAAGCAUAUUUCUCUCCACCUCUGAAUGCCUACUGAUAUGCAGAUGUACUAAAACCAGGUGAGAUAUUAUGGAAAUGUUAUAAUUUUACCCAUACUGUUCAUUUAGUCUUUAUCACUAGUGGUCAUAGUAAUACCUGCCUGUCUUGCCAAUGGGUUUCAGCCCUGGGCAGGUUCACUAUGGAUUCAGUGUGACCAAAGA
Molecule: non-coding RNA, 1069 nt
Organism: Manis javanica (Malayan pangolin)
Lineage: Eukaryota; Metazoa; Chordata; Mammalia; Pholidota; Manidae
Source: RefSeq, a predicted model, not a curated record